This 1394-nucleotide long non-coding RNA is filed under the name Ananas comosus (pineapple). RNAcentral's name for it is "long non-coding RNA (ACOM_LNC006524)". Lineage: Eukaryota; Viridiplantae; Streptophyta; Magnoliopsida; Poales; Bromeliaceae. The record is from RNAcentral.
AAAAAGAAGUCCUAUGAUAGUAAGUUAAUUUGUGCGAGAAUCAAAUAUGUUAUAAAUUAUUUUGAAUUAAGUUUAUUAAAAAUUUUGUAUUGGAAAGGAAGCUAUUUUCGUACGAAACUGAAUAGGCUUAGAAUCAUACUCUAAUUUUUUUUUUGAGAGAAAGAUAGAUAGCAUGCUAUCCGAUUCGUUUAUUUCAUUUAGAAAUAAACUUAGCUAGAAAUAUGAAUUAACUAGGAUUCGAACUUGAGUCUCGGAUAUCGACCACCAAGCCCUUUUGCCAUUUAUUAUAGGGACGGUCGGUAAUCAUACUUUAUUUUAACGGAAAACUUCAAAAACCCUCCUUGUGGUUUCAAUUUUUUUCACUUUAGUACUCUGUUGUUUAAAAUGUAUUAAGUUAGUACCUUGUGAUUUCUCACUUUAUCACUUUAGUACCCUGUGGUUUAAAGUGUAUCAAGUUAGUACCCUGUGGUUUUGCACUUUAUCACUUUAGUACCCUGUGGUUUUAAUUUUGUAUCAAGUUAGUACCCUAUAGUUUUUUAAACUAUAGAGUACUAAAGUGAUAAAGUGUGAAACCACAUGGUACUAAAGUGAUAAAGUGCAAAACCAUAUGGUACUAACUUGAUACACCUUAAAUAAUAGGGUACUAACUUGAUACACUUUAAAUCACAGAAUACUAAAAUGAAAAAGUGUGAAACCACAUGGGGUUUUAAAGUUUUCUCUUAUUUUAAAGUGAUGAAUGGGGAUGUACUAACAAUAUGUACAUUUAUGCUGCUCAGUCCUUUUACGAGGGUUCAUAACCUGUCUAUUCACUACGUGCCAUCAUGUGACUUAACAUGUGUUCCCGUACGGAUGUUCUAUACGGUAUUUAUCUGUGUGUACUAGAAUUGUUUGAGUGCGUGUGUGAAAACUCGCAGGAGAUACUGAGCCCCAGUAGGCAGGAAAAAUUCUAGAAUGCAACAAGUAUAUUUGUGACGUAGCGGAACAAAUCAAUCAAAUAUUUUUUUUUAGAAAUGUAUGUCCUAUUAUGAAUGCAAAAAAAUAUUUUUAUUGUACUUUUGUUUGAAAAGAAGGAAUAUGAUUGGCUUGUCAUUGAUGACGUGGCGCAAGUAUGAUAGUACAGAAUUCCUCCACUAGGCAGAGGCUCUGUAACUUUUUCACAAAAUAAAAUAAAAGAAAAGAAAAAUUUUUAAAAACUAUAUGCCAUCCUUCAAUUGAUCAUAUAUUUUUAUGGACAAUUAAUGCGUUGUACCAUAAAUAGAUGCAUAAGUUUAAUUAUUUCAUAUUUUUAGCUAACUUUAUGUCUAAAAAAGAACGAAAUAGAUAGCUACUAUCUUUCUGUCAAAAAAAAAAAAAAUUGUAUUAAAAUUACUCUGCUGUGAAUGUACUAUUUUCAC